This 97-nucleotide signal recognition particle RNA is filed under the name Hyphomicrobiales bacterium. Its description in RNAcentral is "Rhizobiales bacterium signal recognition particle sRNA small type". It matches the Rfam family "Bacterial small signal recognition particle RNA". Rfam says of the family: The signal recognition particle (SRP) is a universally conserved ribonucleoprotein involved in the co-translational targeting of proteins to membranes. Archaeal SRP consists of a 7S RNA and homologues of the eukaryotic SRP19 and SRP54 proteins. The record is from RNAcentral. Lineage: Bacteria; Pseudomonadati; Pseudomonadota; Alphaproteobacteria; Hyphomicrobiales.
AGAGGCUGGCGGCGGACGGAUUCCUCGCCAACCGGGUCAGGUCCGGAAGGAAGCAGCCCUAACGAGUUUUGUCCGGGUCGCCCGUCCAGUCUCUCAC